Molecule: unclassified non-coding RNA, 397 nt
Filed under: Melitaea cinxia (Glanville fritillary)
Lineage: Eukaryota; Metazoa; Arthropoda; Insecta; Lepidoptera; Nymphalidae
Description: misc RNA ENSMCXG00005001384.1
Source: RNAcentral
GCUGAGGUUCAGUGAGGAGACUGGAUUACAUUAAGGCUUAAAUAAUGAAAUAAUUUCAAUUAUUACUUACAGGCACUUCUCAAAAGACACACAGAACUUUGCUCUACUGCAACGGAGCAAGCAGCUGUGCUUAGCCUCGUUACAAAGCUCCAAACAGUAUUAGACAACUUGGUAGUCGCACCUGGAGAUUUUGCAGCUUGCCAAUUGGAGGAGGUUCGUCAAGUCGGUUCUUACAAAAAAGGAACGAUGAUGGCGGGCAAGAAUGUCGCCGCCGAUAUAGUGGUCAUCAUGAAGACUUUACCACUUUGCCCACUAAAGAGGCUGUGGAGGGGCUGUCAAAUAAAGUUAACGAAGAGCUCAAUAAGCGCAUGCGAGCCGAGGGUCUGGCGCCGGUGAC